RNAcentral lists this ribosomal RNA (162 nucleotides) under Hamamelis japonica (Japanese witch hazel). RNAcentral describes it as "5.8S ribosomal RNA". It matches the Rfam family "5.8S ribosomal RNA". Rfam says of the family: 5.8S ribosomal RNA (5.8S rRNA) is a component of the large subunit of the eukaryotic ribosome. It is transcribed by RNA polymerase I as part of the 45S precursor that also contains 18S and 28S rRNA. Functionally, it is thought that 5.8S rRNA may be involved in ribosome translocation. Lineage: Eukaryota; Viridiplantae; Streptophyta; Magnoliopsida; Saxifragales; Hamamelidaceae. The record is from RNAcentral.
UCUAAACGACUCUCGGCAACGGAUAUCUCGCGUCUCGCAUCGAUGAAGAACGUAGCGAAAUGCGAUACUUGGUGUGAAUUGCAGAAUCCCGUGAACCAUCGAGUCUUGAANNNAAGUUGCGCCCAAAGCCAUUAGGCCGAGGGCACGUCUGCCUGGGCGUCA